Molecule: RNA transcript, 1383 nt
Organism: Mandrillus leucophaeus (drill)
Lineage: Eukaryota; Metazoa; Chordata; Mammalia; Primates; Cercopithecidae
Gene name: heterogeneous nuclear ribonucleoprotein R-like
Exons: 2
Source: RefSeq, a predicted model, not a curated record
AUGAAGACCUAUAGGCAGAGAGAGAAACAGGGGAGCUAGGUGCAAGAGUCCACAAAGGGACCUGAUGAAGCAAAGAUCAAGGCCUUGCUUGAGAGAACUGGUUAUACUCUGAAUGUAACCACAGGACACAGGAAGUAUGGUGGGCCUCCAUCAAACAGUGUGUACUCUGGCAUGCAACCUGGAAUUGGAACAAAGCUGUGAAACUGUGACAGCUAUGAAAUUCGCCCUUUGGUAAACAACAUGGAGUGCGCAUUUCUGUGGCAAACAACAGACUUUUUGUUGGAUCCAUUCUGAAGAAUAACACUAAAGAAAAUAUUCUGGAAGAAUUCAGUAAAGUCACAGAGGGUUCGGUGGACGUUAUUCUCUAUCAUCAACCUGAUGACAAAAAGAAGAAAUGGGAGUUCUGCUUCCUGGAAUAUGAGGAUCACAAGCCAGAUGCCGGCUGAUGAGUGGAAAAGUAAAAGUAUGGGGAAAUGCAGUUACAGCUGAAUGGACUGACCCUGUGAAGAACCAGAUCCAGAAGUUAUAGCUAAGGUAAAAGUAUUGUUUGUGAGAAAUUUGGGCACAGACGAAAUAUUGGAAAAGUCAUUUUCUGAAUUUGGAGAACUUCAAAGAGUAAAUAAGUUGAAAGAUUAUGCAUUUGUUCAUUCUGAAGACAGAGGAGCAGUCGUUAAGGCUAUGGAUGAAAUGAAUGGCAAAGAAAUAGAAGGGGAAGAACUUGAAAUAGUCUUAGCCAAGCCACCAGACAAGAAAAGGAAAGAGCACCAAGCUGCUAGACAGGCCUCCAGAAGCACUGCAUAUGAAGAUUAUCACUACAUCCUCCUCCUCGCAUGCUGCCUCCGAUUAGAGGUUGGGGGAGAGGUGGAUAUGGCUACCCUCCAGAUCACUAUGGCACGAAGAUUACUAUGGUUAUUAUUAUCACAACUAUCAUGGAGGUUAUGAAAACUCCCUACUACAGCUAUGAUGAUGGCUAUGCAGUAACAGAAAGAGGAGGAAGGGGAGGGCAGGGUGCUCCACCACCACCAAGGGGGAGGGGAGCACCACCUCCAAGAGGUAGAGCUGGCUAUUAACAAAGGGGGGCACCUUUGGGACCACCAAGAGGCUCUAGGGGUGGCAGAGGGGGUCCUGCACAACAGCAGAGAGGCCGUGGCUGCGGUUCCCGUGGAUCUUGGGGCAAUCAGGAGGCAAUGUAGGAGGCAAGAGAAGGCAGAUGCUUACAACCAACCUGAUUCCAAGCAUCGUCAGACCAACCAGCAGAACUGGGUCUCUCAACCCAUCGCUCAGCAGCCACUUCAGCAAGGUGGUGACUAUUCUGGUAACUAUGGUUACAAUAAUGACAACCAGGAAUUUUAUCAGGAUACUCAUAGGUAACAGUGGAAGUAG